Molecule: ribosomal RNA, 274 nt
Filed under: uncultured bacterium
Lineage: Bacteria
Description: partial 16S ribosomal RNA
Rfam family: Bacterial small subunit ribosomal RNA
Source: RNAcentral
AUACGGAGGGUGCAAACGUUGUUCGGAAUUACUGGGCGUUAAGCGCGCGUAGGCGGUUUGUUAAGUCAGAUGUGAAAGUCCACAGCUCAACUGUGGAAGUGCAUUUGAAACUGGCAGACUUGAGUACUGGAGGGGGUGGUGGAAUUCCCGGUGUAGAGGUGAAAUUCGUAGAUAUCGGGAGGAAUACCGGUGGCGAAGGCGACCACCUGGCCAGAUACUGACGCUGAGGUGCGAAAGCGUGGGGAGCAAACAGGAUUAGAUACCCUAGUAGUCC